AUCCAGAUGACGAGUCCCAAAUAGGAAGAAAUGCGGCGCAUCCUCGCUGGAU
This 52-nucleotide non-coding RNA is filed under the name Trichobilharzia regenti. The record is from RNAcentral. Lineage: Eukaryota; Metazoa; Platyhelminthes; Trematoda; Strigeidida; Schistosomatidae.